CGAAUGCUGACAUAAGUAACGAUAAAGCGGGUGAAAAGCCCGCUCGCCGGAAGACCAAGGGUUCCUGUCCAACGUUAAUCGGGGCAGGGUGAGUCGACCCCUAAGGCGAGGCCGAAAGGCGUAGUCGAUGGGAAACAGGUUAAUAUUCCUGUACUUGGUGUUACUGCGAAGGGGGGACGGAGAAGGCUAUGUUGGCCGGGCGACGGUUGUCCCGGUUUAAGCGUGUAGGCUGGUUUUCCAGGCAAAUCCGGAAAAUCAAGGCUGAGGCGUGAUGACGAGGCACUACGGUGCUGAAGCAACAAAUGCCCUGCUUCCAGGAAAAGCCUCUAAGCAUCAGGUAACAUCAAAUCGUACCCCAAACCGACACAGGUGGUCAGGUAGAGAAUACCAAGGCGCUUGAGAGAACUCGGGUGAAGGAACUAGGCAAAAUGGUGCCGUAACUUCGGGAGAAGGCACGCUGAUACGUAGGUGAAGUCCCUUGCGG
RNAcentral lists this ribosomal RNA (484 nucleotides) under Escherichia coli. Its description in RNAcentral is "partial 23S ribosomal RNA". It matches the Rfam family "Bacterial large subunit ribosomal RNA", at positions 1291 to 1776 of the family's 2925-position model. The record is from RNAcentral. Lineage: Bacteria; Pseudomonadati; Pseudomonadota; Gammaproteobacteria; Enterobacterales; Enterobacteriaceae.